This 420-nucleotide ribosomal RNA is filed under the name uncultured bacterium. Its description in RNAcentral is "bacterial SSU rRNA". It matches the Rfam family "Bacterial small subunit ribosomal RNA", at positions 355 to 773 of the family's 1533-position model. The record is from RNAcentral.
UAAGGAAUAUUGGUCAAUGGACGCAAGUCUGAACCAGCCAUGCCGCGUGAAGGAUGAAGGUCCUCUGGAUUGUAAACUUCUUUUAUCUGGGACGAAAACGGGAUUUUUAUCUCAAUUGACGGUACCAGAGGAAUAAGCACCGGCUAACUCCGUGCCAGCAGCCGCGGUAAUACGGAGGGUGCGAGCGUUAUCCGGAUUUACUGGGUUUAAAGGGUGCGUAGGUGGGCUUAUAAGUCAGUGGUGAAAUCUCCGAGCUUAACUUGGAAACUGCCGUUGAUACUAUAGGUCUUGAAUUAUCUGGAGGUAAGCGGAAUAUGUCAUGUAGCGGUGAAAUGCUUAGAUAUGACAUAGAACACCAAUUGCGAAGGCAGCUUACUACAUAAUCAUUGACACUGAGGCACGAAAGCGUGGGUAGCGAAC